AGACGUAGGGGGCGAGCGUUGUCCGGAAUUACUGGGCGUAAAGGGCACGUAGGUGGGUGCUUAAGUCAGGUGUGAAAGACCGCAGCUUAACUGCGGGAUUGCACUUGAAACUAAGUAUCUUGAGGGCAGGAGAGGACAGUAGAAUUCCUGGUGUAGCGGUGAAAUGCGUAGAAAUCAGGAGGAAUACCGGUGGCGAAGGCGACUGUCUGGACUGACCCUGACACUGAGGUGCGAAAGCGUGGGUAGCAAACAGGAUUAGAUACCCUGGUAGUCCACGCUGUAAACGAUGGAUACUAGGUGUAGGAGGUAUCGACCCCUUCUGUGCCGGAGCUAACGCAAUAAGUAUCCCGCCUGGGGAGUACGGUCGCAAGGCUGAA
Molecule: ribosomal RNA, 377 nt
Filed under: uncultured bacterium
Lineage: Bacteria
Description: bacterial SSU rRNA
Rfam family: Bacterial small subunit ribosomal RNA
Source: RNAcentral